Molecule: long non-coding RNA, 213 nt
Filed under: Capsicum annuum
Lineage: Eukaryota; Viridiplantae; Streptophyta; Magnoliopsida; Solanales; Solanaceae
Description: long non-coding RNA (CANN_LNC010485)
Source: RNAcentral
UCCAUGCUCACUUCUUCCUACUUCCAAGUAGGAAUAGCGAACUCCUGCAUUGAACCACUAGGUUUAUGAUGCUCUAUCUUAACCUGCUGACAUGUAGAGCACUUAGCCAUAAACUCUGCAACAUCCCUCUUCAUCCCACUUCACCAAUAGAUCUCUCACAAGUUGCAGUACAUCUUAGUGGCCCCUCGAUGAAUAGAGUAUCAUACACCAUGC